UACAUUAUAGUGUAUGAGCACGUAAAUUUUUGAAGUUUAAAGUAAAAGUUCAAUCCUUUUUUUUGUAA
This 68-nucleotide transfer RNA is filed under the name Inioteuthis japonica. RNAcentral describes it as "tRNA-Gln". It matches the Rfam family "tRNA". From Rfam's summary of the family: Transfer RNA (tRNA) molecules are approximately 80 nucleotides in length. Their secondary structure includes four short double-helical elements and three loops (D, anti-codon, and T loops). Further hydrogen bonds mediate the characteristic L-shaped molecular structure. tRNAs have two regions of fundamental functional importance: the anti-codon, which is responsible for specific mRNA codon recognition, and the 3' end, to which the tRNAs corresponding amino acid is attached (by aminoacyl-tRNA synthetases). tRNAs cope with the degeneracy of the genetic code in two manners: having more than one tRNA (with a specific anti-codon) for a particular amino acid; and 'wobble' base-pairing, i.e. permitting non-standard base-pairing at the 3rd anti-codon position. The record is from RNAcentral. Lineage: Eukaryota; Metazoa; Mollusca; Cephalopoda; Sepiida; Sepiolidae.